RNAcentral lists this ribosomal RNA (502 nucleotides) under uncultured bacterium. Its description in RNAcentral is "partial 16S ribosomal RNA". It matches the Rfam family "Bacterial small subunit ribosomal RNA", at positions 28 to 507 of the family's 1533-position model. The record is from RNAcentral.
GACGAACGCUGGCGGCGUGCCUAAUACAUGCAAGUCGAACGAACCGCGACUAAGUGCUUGCACUAAGUCAAGGUGAGUGGCGAACGGGUGAGUAACACGUGGGUAACCUACCUCAUAGUGGGGGAUAACAGUCGGAAACGACUGCUAAUACCGCAUAGGACAUAGGAUCACAUGAUCCAGUGAGGAAAGGUGGCGCAAGCUAUCGCUAAGAGAUGGACCCGCGGUGCAUUAGCUAGUUGGUAGGGUAAAGGCCUACCAAGGCGAUGAUGCAUAGCCGACCUGAGAGGGUGAUCGGCCACAUUGGAACUGGGACACGGCCCAAACUCCUACGGGAGGCAGCAGUAGGGAAUCUUCCGCAAUGGACGCAAGUCUGACGGAGCAACGCCGCGUGAGUGAAGAAGGUCUUCGGAUCGUAAAGCUCUGUUGUUAGGGAAGAACAGCGCAUAGAGUAACUGCUAUGCGUGUGACGGUAUCUAACCAGAAAGCCACGGCUAACUACGUG